This 238-nucleotide ribosomal RNA is filed under the name uncultured bacterium. RNAcentral describes it as "partial 16S ribosomal RNA". It matches the Rfam family "Bacterial small subunit ribosomal RNA", at positions 100 to 334 of the family's 1533-position model. The record is from RNAcentral.
CGGGACGGGUGAGUAACGCGUGGGUAACCUGCCCUGUACAGGGGGACAACAGCUGGAAACGACUGCUAAUACCGCAUAAGCCCACGGCUCGGCAUCGAGCAGAGGGAAAAGGAGUGAUCCGCUUUGAGAUGGCCUCGCGUCCGAUUAGCUAGUUGGUGAGGUAACGGCCCACCAAGGCGACGAUCGGUAGCCGGACUGAGAGGUUGAACGGCCACAUUGGGACUGAGACACGGCCCAG